RNAcentral lists this transfer RNA (73 nucleotides) under Canis lupus familiaris (dog). It matches the Rfam family "tRNA". From Rfam's summary of the family: Transfer RNA (tRNA) molecules are approximately 80 nucleotides in length. Their secondary structure includes four short double-helical elements and three loops (D, anti-codon, and T loops). The record is from Rfam by way of RNAcentral. Lineage: Eukaryota; Metazoa; Chordata; Mammalia; Carnivora; Canidae.
GCCUGGCUGGCUCAGUCGGUAGAGCACGCAACUCUUGAUCUCAGGGUUGUGAGUUCAAGCCCCACGUUGGGCG